RNAcentral lists this microRNA precursor (279 nucleotides) under Medicago truncatula (barrel medic). RNAcentral's name for it is "MIR2655 microRNA precursor family". It matches the Rfam family "MIR2655 microRNA precursor family". The record is from Rfam by way of RNAcentral. Lineage: Eukaryota; Viridiplantae; Streptophyta; Magnoliopsida; Fabales; Fabaceae.
CCCUUAACUAUUAAAAGUUUCAUUUUGGUCCAUUAACUUACUUUUUGGUUUCGUUUUGGUCCCUUAACUCUUCCUCCGUCAACCACUUUGGUCCUUUAUGUUAUGAUGAAUGUAUUAGAGUUAAGGGACCAAAAUGAAACCAAAAAAUAAGUUAAGGGACCAAAAUGAAAUCAAAAAAUAAGUUAAGGGACCAAAACGAAACUUUUAAUAGUUAAGGGACCAAAACGAAACCAAAAAGUAAGUUAAGGGACCAAAACAAAACUUUUAAUAGUUAAGGAA